UUAAAAAGCUCCAUUUCAGCACCAAUGGCAAUGUAAAUAAGAUGAUUUAAUGUUGAUUUUAAUCCUGUAUAUAAAAUAAAAAGUCACUGAGUUCAAGCAUAUUUAAUGAUGAUUACGGAGCCUUAGAGGUCUUUAAUCAUUGGUUCGGCUGCUUUUUGUAGUUUGUUUAGGCUGGGCUGCGUUCCUUUUUUUUUCACUUACAAGAAAGGCCUGAAUGGAGGACUUUUCUAUGACCAGGAGCAUUUUCUAGGGGUCAAAGUGCUAAUUAUUAACUCAACUGGGUCUCCUUUUUAAUGGCUUUCUUAACACUAACUUGCAAGAUUACAGAUCAACACAUUUCAAAUGGAUAUAGACCUGGGGUUCUGGAGGGAGGGGGUUUGUUAAAACAACACACAUUCAAAGAAAGAAAUUUUGUAUAUAUAACCAUUUUAAUCUUUUAUAAAGUUUUGAAUGUUCAUGUAUGAAUGCUGCAGCUGUGAAGCAUACAUAAAUAAAUGAAGUAAGCCAUACUGAUUUAAUUUAUUGGAUGUUAUUUUCCCUCAAACCUGAACAUUGACGUAGUUGGUAGUUAUUUUUCGGUUUUAGCCUUUAUAUUUCCCUCACAGUUUGGAAUCGUAUAAUCUAGGUACUCUGUCCCUGAUUAAAUAAUGUGAUGGAUAGAAUGCAUUAAGUGUUUUAUUAUAAAGAAGAGUGGAAAAGUGUCUAGCUUUCAGCAAACGGUGUUUGCCCAUUCUAAGCAAGGAGCACAUAUAUAGAAAUAGUAUGGGCAUUGCUUCUUAUUAGGUGGAGUGUAUGUGUUGAAAUUUCUCCCUAUCUCUUCCCACUCCAUUUUCUCCCCUUAAUUUGAAUAAAAUGACUGCUAAAGAUGACUUUGAAUUAUUAUCUGCUUAAUUUAAUGUUUAAAGAAACCCUGUGAUGGAAAGAAAGCAUUUAGGUGUCUUUCCUAAUUUUAGUUUAGAAUGAUCUUGAGAGCUCAAGAUAAAAAAUAAAAUGCGAAUUGAAAAAGAGCAGACCCAACAGGGAUUCUUUUUCUCAGAACCUCUUUUGACUAGAAGGAGCUACAGUAGCCACCGUCAUACACCCUGUCUUUAGGCAAGUUUCCUCGGUUGCUGUGUUAAAUGUGACCAACCUUUGGGUGUUCUAGAGCACAGAAGAACUCUGUGUCUACCUAUGAGGUUUUUAUUUUUCCUCUUUCAUUACAAUGCACAUAAUACGUUCCUGUAUUUAUAUUAUAACAUGUAUAGUGUAAAAUGUGAAUGAUUGUUUUUUUUUUGUGAAUGAAAAUCUAAAAUCUUUGUAACUUUUUUAUACCUGCUUUUGUUUCACCAAAGAAACCUAAAAUCCUUCUUUUACUAUA
This 1357-nucleotide long non-coding RNA is filed under the name Bos taurus (domestic cattle). RNAcentral's name for it is "long non-coding RNA NONBTAT023683". Lineage: Eukaryota; Metazoa; Chordata; Mammalia; Artiodactyla; Bovidae. The record is from RNAcentral.